UGGGGAAUUUUGGACAAUGGGCGCAAGCCUGAUCCAGCCAUGCCGCGUGCGGGAAGAAGGCCUUCGGGUUGUAACCGCUUUUGUCAGGGAAGAAAUCUUCUGAGUUAAUACCUCGGGAGGAUGACGGUACCUGAAGAAUAAGCACCGGCUAACUACGUGCCAGCAGCCGCGGUAAUACGUAGGGUGCAAGCGUUAAUCGGAAUUACUGGGCGUAAAGCGUGCGCAGGCGGUUUUGUAAGACAGAGGUGAAAUCCCCGGGCUCAACCUGGGAACUGCCUUUGUGACUGCAAGGCUUGAGUGCGGCAGAGGGGGAUGGAAUUCCGCGUGUAGCAGUGAAAUGCGUAGAUAUGCGGAGGAACACCGAUGGCGAAGGCAAUCCCCUGGGCCUGCACUGACGCUCAUGCACGAAAGCGUGGGGAGCAAACAGGAUUAGAUACCCU
This 440-nucleotide ribosomal RNA is filed under the name uncultured bacterium. RNAcentral's name for it is "partial 16S ribosomal RNA". It matches the Rfam family "Bacterial small subunit ribosomal RNA", at positions 355 to 788 of the family's 1533-position model. The record is from RNAcentral.